This 1430-nucleotide ribosomal RNA is filed under the name Triticum aestivum (bread wheat). RNAcentral describes it as "partial small subunit ribosomal RNA". The record is from RNAcentral. Lineage: Eukaryota; Viridiplantae; Streptophyta; Magnoliopsida; Poales; Poaceae.
CGCUUUCCGACUUGAAAGUUUUGCCUGUACAUACAUGCGCGCACAUCCACGAGACAGCCGUCAGUUCUUGGCUUCUUGCGUGCCGCCGUUGAUCGCCAUGGCCCGGCGGCGGGUCCGGACCUGGGCUGCAGCCGUCGCCACGGGUGUGCUCGUCGUCGUCGUCGCUGCUGCCGCCUCUGCGGCGGCCGUGGUAGUCGAGGAGAAGCUGAUGGUGGAAAUGGCUCUCGUCCCGGGCGCCGCGUCGACGGGAGCAGUGUGCCUCGACGGGAGCCCGCCGGCGUACCACCUCCACCAGGGCUCCGGCGCUCGCGGCUGGCUGCUCCAGUUCGAGGGCGGCGGUUGGUGCAACGACGCGCGGUCGUGCGCCGGGAGAGCCCGCACGUCCCUAGGUUCCAGAAGCCUCAUGAACAAGCUCGAGACGUUCUCCGGAUUGCUCAGCAACGAUCCCGCCAUGAACCCAGAUUUUUACAACUGGAAUCGAGUGAAAAUGCGAUACUGCGACGGCGGCUCCUUUGCGGGCGAUUCAGAGUUCAAAAAUGGUUCUUCAGUCAUGUACAUGAGAGACCAGAGGAUAUGGGAUGCAAUCAUCACCGAUUUGUUCCUGAAAGGUCUUGCGAAAGCCGAAAAGGUGCUGCUCUCAGGCUGCUCAGCAGGAGGUCUAGCUACGUUCUUCCACUGCGACGACCUCGAGAAGCGUCUCCGAGGUGUUGCCACGGUGAAAUGCAUGAGCGACGCAGGGUUUUUCCUUGAUGUGGACGAAUUUCCGGCCACGGCACCGUCAGGUCUUUCUUUAACGGGGUAGUCGAUUUCCAGGGGGUUCAGAAGAAUUUGAACAAAAACUGUUCGGAUUCAACAGUAAAAUCUUAUCAGUGCUUUUUCCCGCAAUAUGUGCUUCGGAGCAUUAGAGCCCCCUAUUUCAUCUUGAAUUCAGCUUACAGCGUAUAUCAGUUUUUUCAAAAUUUUGUGCCUCCUUCGUCUGAUCCUAGAGGUCAAUGGAGUCGCUGUAAGGCGGCGCUCAGUGGAUGCAGCUCAUCCCAAAUUGCAACUCUCCAAGGUCUGAGAAGCGCAAUGUUAAUGGCUCUGAAACCGUUCGAAGGUGAAUCGAAGGUGGGAAUGUUCAUCAAUUCUUGCUUUUCACAUUGCCAGAGCGAGUCUCAGGACACAUGGUUUGCACCAAAUUCCCCAAGACUACAUGACAAGACAAUUGCGAAGCUUGUUGGUGAUUGGUUCUUUGAAAGGGGUGCCGCCCAAGAAGUCGACUGCCCCUAUCCUUGUGACUCGACUUGCCACAACAUUAUACCAUUUAGUUAGGUUAGGCCACUGAGUUCUAGGGUUUAUGCAUUCGUGAGUGGCUAGAAAUUCUAUACAAAAUUCAUAGAUAUGCAUCUUGUUAAAACUUGUGCACUUGUAAUUCAUGAGAUAAUAUGAUC